GAUCAUGGCUCAGGAUGAACGCUAGCUACAGGCUUAACACAUGCAAGUCGAGGGGAAACGACAUCGAAAGCUUGCUUUUGAUGGGCGUCGACCGGCGCACGGGUGAGUAACGCGUAUCCAACCUGCCCAUCACUUGGGAAUAACCUUGCGAAAGUAAGACUAAUGCCCAAUGAUAUCCCACGAAGGCAUCCGAAUGGGAUUAAAGAUUUAUCGGUGUAAGAUGGACCCGCGUCUGAUUAG
Molecule: ribosomal RNA, 240 nt
Filed under: uncultured bacterium
Lineage: Bacteria
Description: partial 16S ribosomal RNA
Rfam family: Bacterial small subunit ribosomal RNA
Source: RNAcentral